UACAUGGGGUGCAAACGUUGCUCGGAAUUAUUGGGCGUAAAGCGCACGUAGGCGGUUCGUUAAGUCGGAUGUGAAAGCCCUCGGCUCAACUGAGGAAGUGCACCCGAAACUGGCGAGCUUGAGUACGAAAGAGGAUCGCGGAAUUCCCGGUGUAGAGGUGAAAUUCGUAGAUAUCGGGAGGAACACCAGUGGCGAAGGCGGCGAUCUGGGAAGAUACUGACGCUGAGGUGCGAAAAGCGUGGGGGAGCAAACAGG
RNAcentral lists this ribosomal RNA (255 nucleotides) under uncultured bacterium. RNAcentral describes it as "partial 16S ribosomal RNA". It matches the Rfam family "Bacterial small subunit ribosomal RNA", at positions 524 to 776 of the family's 1533-position model. The record is from RNAcentral.